RNAcentral lists this transfer RNA (76 nucleotides) under Microtrichalus sp. BM0100. RNAcentral describes it as "tRNA-Glu". The record is from RNAcentral. Lineage: Eukaryota; Metazoa; Arthropoda; Insecta; Coleoptera; Lycidae. RNAcentral also lists the same sequence under 1 other name.
AUUUCUAACUUAUAUUUAUAUAGUUUAUUAAAAACAUUACAUUUUCAUUGUAAAAUUAAAUAUUAUUUUUUUAUAA